This 77-nucleotide transfer RNA is filed under the name Corynebacterium pseudodiphtheriticum. RNAcentral's name for it is "tRNA-Pro". It matches the Rfam family "tRNA". Rfam says of the family: Transfer RNA (tRNA) molecules are approximately 80 nucleotides in length. Their secondary structure includes four short double-helical elements and three loops (D, anti-codon, and T loops). Lineage: Bacteria; Bacillati; Actinomycetota; Actinomycetes; Mycobacteriales; Corynebacteriaceae. The record is from RNAcentral.
CGGGCUGUAGCGCAGUUUGGUAGCGCACCACACUGGGGGUGUGGGGGUCGCAGGUUCAAAUCCUGUCAGCCCGACAA